This is a non-coding RNA of Phrynosoma platyrhinos (Desert horned lizard), 72 nucleotides long. Lineage: Eukaryota; Metazoa; Chordata; Lepidosauria; Squamata; Phrynosomatidae. The record is from the annotation of a GenBank genome assembly.
GCCAGUGUGGCUUAGUGAUUUGAGUGUUGGAUUACGACUUGGGAAACCAGGGUUUGAAUCCCAGCUUGGCCA